GAAAGCGCAAGCCUCUGUUUUUUCACAUAGUGAAAUAUGAGAAUUAGGAGCUGGUAUUUGCUCUUGUGCACUUACUGUGAUUUCUUCUAUUUUAAAAAAACAAAAAGGUACAUACUCUUGGGCUGCAAUCCAGUACAUGUCCAACAUUUGUCUACCCAGAGGAAGUGUUAAACAGGUGCUUGAGCACAGUCACGGACUGGAUGCGGGCCAACAAACUGAGGUUCAAUCCAGAUAAGAUUGUGGUGCUCUAGAAUGGAUGGUUUGUCUACUCAGGCUCCACUAUUUCUUAGAAUAUUCAUUGCUGAUACAGAGAUGACUCACUGACGUGAAUGCUUCCUACAAAGCUUCAGGCUGGCUGAAGGCUCAAUCCUAUACUGAAGAUAUAAGAGCAUAAGAAGGGCCUGCUGGAUCAGGCCAGUGGCACAUCUAGUCCAACAUCCUGUUCUCACAGAUGUCUGUGGGAAGCCUGCAAACAAGACCCAACUGCAAGAGCACUCUCCCCUCCUGCGGUUUCCAGCAACUGGUAUUCAGAAACAUACUGCCUUCUGACUAUGGAGGCAGAGCAUAGCCAUCAUGGCUAGUAGCCACUGAUAGCUUUAUCCUCCAUGAAGCUGCCUAAUCUUCUUUUAAAGCUGUCCAAGUUGGUGGCCAUCACUGCUUUUUGUGGGUGAAUUCCAUAAGUUUAACUAUGUGAUGUGUGAAGAAGUACUUUCAGUACUGUCCUGAAUCUUUCCACAUUCAGCUUCACUGGAUGUCCACAAGUUAUGCCAGCUGAGGGGCUGCAGGAUAUGGUGGAAGCCCUCCUGUACUGACACAGUGUGAGAUGUACUACUUCCACAGAGCACAAUUCCAGCACAAGUGCUCAGAUAUGCUGGUGGAAUAUUCCACUGGAGUAUGAAAUACUGAUGAAGAUAAGCUUGUGGAAUAGUGGAGUAACUCACCACCACCACCAUGAUCCUUUUAGAAGAUUGCUCAGUUAAUGACCUCCUUGUAAGCUGCUCUGAAUGACUUCUAAGAUAUAAUAGGAUAUUUCAAUUGCAUACAUACCAGUUUGGUUAUGGGAGAAGUGGAAGCACAAUAUAAUAUCCUUAUUUAUACAGCAAGCGUAUUGCAUAGGGAUAGUCCUUUGCUAGUGCUGCCCUGCUCAAACCUCAAUAAAUUUCAUCAGCUUGUUGCUGGUCUUCUGAACAGGGUGCUGAUGGGUACAGAUUAGGCACAGUGCCACAUGACUCAAAUAUGCAUCAUCACAGCAUAUCCAUUGCUUUGUGCUGGUUCAAUCAUGACUUAUACCUAAGAGUGGGAAAAUUCCCAGCCCCCAAUUUUCCUGAUUUCUUUUCCCCAAGACGGUGGUCCCAGUCCCUCAUACCUGCUCCAUUUCUGGGACAUGGAGGAGUCCCUUGAUGGAAUCUUGAUGCCCUGUGUAACUUUGCAUCUGCACCCCAGAGUUUGGGUCAUAAACCCUGUAAGGAGAAAACGGCAAAGCCAUCAGCACAUUCAAGGAUAUGCUAUCCUCUUAUCCCUCCCGUUUCCACCACCAUCUGCAUUAUCCAAUGGCUACCUGAUGGUAUCAUGAACCCCUGCAAUAAUGCAGCCAUUGACCUGGUCAAUGCAGAGGCAAGUGAUCCCUCUGGGGGCUCUCAGGUCCUGUAAACAGCAUCCACUAUCUUCACUCUGUGUGUACCAUUAAAAAAAAAGUUU
Long non-coding RNA from Rhineura floridana, 1698 nucleotides. RefSeq lists it as uncharacterized. The record is from RefSeq and is a predicted model, not a curated record. Lineage: Eukaryota; Metazoa; Chordata; Lepidosauria; Squamata; Rhineuridae. The transcript is spliced from 4 exons.